This 282-nucleotide ribosomal RNA is filed under the name Paraglomus laccatum. Lineage: Eukaryota; Fungi; Glomeromycota; Glomeromycetes; Paraglomerales; Paraglomeraceae. The record is from RNAcentral.
CAGACAUGCUCCGUGCGUUCAGCCGAAAGGUGUACUCGUACGGUUGCAGGCUAGAGUCUGUUCUUGGGGUCGGAAAAGGCCCGGGUAAGGUAGCUCUCUUCGGGGAGUGUUAUAGACCUGGGCAGAUGCGCUGCGCGGGACUGAGGAUUGCAGCGGACACCCCUUCGGGGGCGCGGCGACCGAACCCUGCUCGGCCACCCUCGUUCGAUAGCGUGCUAGCGGACGCGGGAGCGGCAGUGCACCGGAACAGGCAAGCCAGCGGUUCGCUAAGGAUGCUGACGU